RNAcentral lists this ribosomal RNA (506 nucleotides) under uncultured bacterium. RNAcentral's name for it is "partial 16S ribosomal RNA". It matches the Rfam family "Bacterial small subunit ribosomal RNA", at positions 29 to 523 of the family's 1533-position model. The record is from RNAcentral.
AGUGAACGCUGGCGGUAGGCCUAACACAUGCAAGUCGAACGGCAGCACAGGAGAGCUUGCUCUCUGGGUGGCGAGUGGCGGACGGGUGAGGAAUACAUCGGAAUCUACUCUGUCGUGGGGGAUAACGUAGGGAAACUUACGCUAAUACCGCAUACGACCUACGGGUGAAAGCAGGGGACCUUCGGGCCUUGCGCGAUUGAAUGAGCCGAUGUCGGAUUAGCUAGUUGGCGGGGUAAAGGCCCACCAAGGCGACGAUCCGUAGCUGGUCUGAGAGAAUGAUCAGCCACACUGGAACUGAGACACGGUCCAGAGUCCUACGGGAGGCAGCAGUGGGGAAUAUUGGACAAUGGGCGCAAGCCUGAUCCAGCCAUACCGCGUGGGUGAAGAAGGCCUUCGGGUUGUAAAGCCCUUUUGUUGGGAAAGAAAUCCAGCUGGCUAAUAUCCGUUGUUGAUGACGGUACCCGCAUAAGAAGCACCGGCUAACUACGUGCCAGCAGCCGCCGUAA